GGCCCGUUGGUGUAAUGGUAACAUUCCCGGCUGAGUAUAUCUUCGUCUGCAUACGUGCCGCAGGAAGACGACGGUUCGAGUCCGUCACGGGUCC
Non-coding RNA from Sordaria brevicollis, 94 nucleotides. The record is from the annotation of a GenBank genome assembly. Lineage: Eukaryota; Fungi; Ascomycota; Sordariomycetes; Sordariales; Sordariaceae.